ACCUGGUUGAUUCUGCCGGACCCGACUGCUAUCAGAGUGAGAUUAAGCCAUGCGAGUUAACGUAGCAAUACGUGGCGCACGGCUCAGUAACACGUAGUCAACAUGCCCAGAGGACGCGGAUAACCUCGGGAAACUGAGUCUAAACCGCGAUAAGUGAGGAUUUCUGGAAUGGUUCCUGACUAAAAUCUAUAUGGCCUCUGGAUUGGACUGCGGCCGAUCAGGCUGUUGGUGAGGUAAUGGCCCACCAAACCUGUAACCGGUACGGGCUCUGAGAGGAGGAGCCCGGAGAUGGGCACUGAGACAAGGGCCCAGGCCCUAUGGGGCGCAGCAGGCGCGAAACCUCUGCAAUAGGCGAAAGCCUGACAGGGUUACUCUGAGUGACUUUCGCUAAGAAAGUCUUUUGGCACCUUUAAAAAGGGUGCAGAAUAAGGGGUGGGCAAGUCUGGUGUCAGCCGCCGCGGUAAUACCAGCACCCCGAGUGGUCGGGACGAUUAUUGGGCCUAAAGCAUCCGUAGCCGGUUCUGCAAGUCCCCCGUUAAAUCCAGCUGCUCAACAGAUGGGCCGCGGAGGAUACUACAGAGCUAGGAGGCAGGAGAGGCAAGCGGUACUCAGUGGGUAGGGGUAAAAUCCGUUGAUCCAUUGAAGACCACCAGUGGCGAAGGCGGCUUGCCAGAAUGCGCUCGACGGUGAGGGAUGAAAGCUGGGGGAGCAAACCGGAUUAGAUACCCGGGUAGUCCCAGCCGUAAACGAUGCAGACUCGGUGAUGGGUUGGCUUCGUGCUAACCCAGUGCCGCAGGGAAGCCGUUAAGUCUGCCGCCUGGGGUAGUACGGUCGCAAGACUGAAACUUAAAGGAAUUGGCGGGGGAGCACCACAAGGGGUGAAGCCUGCGGUUCAUUGGAUUCAACGCCGG
Molecule: ribosomal RNA, 911 nt
Filed under: uncultured archaeon
Lineage: Archaea
Description: bacterial SSU rRNA
Rfam family: Archaeal small subunit ribosomal RNA
Source: RNAcentral